Long non-coding RNA from Poecilia latipinna (sailfin molly), 825 nucleotides. RefSeq lists it as uncharacterized. The transcript is spliced from 2 exons. The record is from RefSeq and is a predicted model, not a curated record. Lineage: Eukaryota; Metazoa; Chordata; Actinopteri; Cyprinodontiformes; Poeciliidae.
ACUGUCAUGUGUUUAUUAAAUGGAAUCAGUUGGAGGAUUUUGACAGCAUUUAAAGGAAUUACAAGUUUAUGUUUGGUUUUAUUUAUUGCGACACAAGAUAACAACAAAAACUACCAGAGGAAAAAAAAAAACCCACAGAGACGUCAAUUCAUCAUCAUCGUUGUGAAACUCGUUUGAAUAAUUAAGAAUAAAAACGGAAUAUUUCACAUGGCAGGUUGUAAACACAAAGUGAUUAUUAGUUUGAUGAUCAAAGUUUGCAGCUAAAAGAGAAACAGAAAAUCCAACAGAAACUUAUAACAUUGCCUUCAAUGAAUUAAAAAUAUUCAUAACAUAAAAAUGUUGACUUAAAACAAUGAUAAAGAAGACUUCUGUCUGUUCAUUAGCAGAACAAGAUACAAAUGCCACUGCUAAAGAAGCUGGGGCCUUCACAGAAUAUACAUGUAUAUAUAAACAUAUACAUAGAUUGAACCCAGAGAUUUACAUAUGAUUACCAAAAACACUUUACACUUUGCUAAAUGCCAGAAAAAUAAGAAAAGUUAUCUUUGAAUUAGUAAGUGUUUCACCAGCUCUGUCAGGAGGAACGGGUCAAAAGUUCAGCAAACUACAGGAAACGUUUGACUCAAGUCAUACAGAUUAAAAAGUAACUGCAUAAAAUAUCAGGGAAAUGUUUGUAAAGAGCUGCAGCUUCAGAGGCUCUGCAGGUGAUGAUGGUGGUGAUGGAGAGGAGGAUGAUCAGUGAGUGCAAUACUCUGGUGAUGAAGAAUUUCCUGCUCGGUACUCAAGCUCCGCCUCAUCUGUUCAGAAAACAGCAGCAGGCGUUAAUCA